AUCCACCUGGGGAGUACGGCCGCAAGGUUGAAACUCAAAAGGAAUUGACGGGGGCCCGCACAAGCAGUGGAUUAUGUGGUUUAAUUCGAAGCAACGCGAAGAACCUUACCAGUUCUUGACAUCCGACUAACGAAGCAGAGAUGCAUCAGGUGCCCUUCGGGAAAGUCGAGACAGGUGGUGCAUGGUUGUCGUCAGCUCGUGUCGUGAGAUGUUGGGUUAAGUCCCGCAACGAGCGCAACCCUUGCCAUUAGUUGCUACGCAAGAGCACUCUAAUGGGACCGCUACCGACAAGGUGGAGGAAGGUGGGGACGAUGUCAAAUCAUCAUGCCCUUUAUGACCUGGGCUACACACGUAAUACAAUGGCCGUCAACAGAGGGAAGCAAUACCGCGAGGUGGAGCAAAACCCUAAAAACGGUCCCAGUUCGGAUCGCAGGCUGAAACCCGCCUGCGUGAAGUUGGAAUUGCUAGUAAUCGCGGAUCAGCAUGCCGCGGUGAAUACGUUCCCGGGCCUUGUACACACCGCCCGUCACACCAUGGGAGUUUGUAACACCCGAAGUCAGUUGCCUAACCGUAAGGAGGGCGCUGCCGAAGGUGGGAUAAGCGACUGGGGUGAAGUCGUAACAAGGUAGCCGUAU
RNAcentral lists this ribosomal RNA (635 nucleotides) under uncultured bacterium. RNAcentral describes it as "bacterial SSU rRNA". It matches the Rfam family "Bacterial small subunit ribosomal RNA", at positions 867 to 1505 of the family's 1533-position model. The record is from RNAcentral.